This is a long non-coding RNA of Trifolium pratense (red clover), 1147 nucleotides long. RefSeq lists it as uncharacterized. The record is from RefSeq and is a predicted model, not a curated record. The transcript has 5 exons. NCBI's taxonomy places the organism in Eukaryota, Viridiplantae, Streptophyta, Magnoliopsida, Fabales, Fabaceae.
AAUAAUAUACAAACUCAAAACCAUGUUAGGGAAAGAAAGCUUAUUUGUCCACCUCUAACCACAUUCUUGCCAAAUCAUCAUUAAUUAAUAUUACUUUCAUUCCAUAUUUAGCUUAUGGUGCCAACUUGGAUGCUUGAGUUGGAAGAAAAAUUUAAAUUUUGAAUUUCCCUCUUCUUUUGGUUUUGUUGGGUCUUAUUUUUGCAUUCAAACAAGUGAAAAACUGAUCUGGCCCAGUUGGUGAAGCCCAUUUCGCUACCAAACAAAAAAAUACUUACCUGGAAAGGAAAAAAAGAAGCACGCGUAAACAUUUUGGGCAAUUCCUUUCUCCCUCCACGCGACCCAACCAGAAAAACGCUAUCAAAUUGAUGCAAGCCUACAGAAAUCCUCUCUGACUCUUAUCAGUACACUCCCAGCGGAUUUUAUGGCUUUAAUCGAUAUCUCUUCAACGUUGAACAGAACAGAGCAACCAAAUUCAAAUUUCCCCUUCAAUCUCUCACUCUGUUCUUUAUCUUCUCUCAUUUUUUUUGGAUUGCUUCAUUUCUCCUUCUCUUUUGACAAAUCCAGCAACGGGAAAGAAUGAGGAAUCAUCGCACACGACGGAGGCGAGAAAGAAUGAGUAAUCAGCAUACACAAAGACGUUAAGGAAAGAAAGUUCUUAGAAAGUUCUUAGGUGACAGAUGGGUUCCUCUGUGUUUAAAGGAAUUUGAUCCCUUUUAGGAAAGAAAGUUCUUAAAACUCAUAAAGGAGCUAAAAGUAAUGGAAAUAAGAAAAAUUAUAGCUUUCUGGGAUUUUGUUCAUCAAUCAUUUCAUAAAGGAUGUUUCAGGUGUUUUAGAAAAAAGGAACCUGUGAGUGGCCAUUGAUAGAGUUGUUCUCAAGUAAGUUUUAAGCUUUCUGCAGCUUAAUUUAUUUAUGUUUUUCAUUUUUUGUUUGUUUCAAGUGACUGUUCCCUAUUUUAUUGAAACAGGACUAUUCAUACCUUUGACAUCAUCGGUACAAUUGAAGUGAAAUUUAUGUGUACAACUAAUGGUACAAAGUCAAAUGUACACAAAGGUUGUUUUUGAAGGUUCGAGAAAGAUAGCAAGAUCGCCAUGGUGCAAAAGUAGAAACGAUAUACCGAAUUUUUAACUUCAUAUAUCAUCAAUUAGA